This 106-nucleotide small RNA is filed under the name Arabidopsis thaliana (thale cress). RNAcentral's name for it is "ATSL303240". Lineage: Eukaryota; Viridiplantae; Streptophyta; Magnoliopsida; Brassicales; Brassicaceae. The record is from RNAcentral.
UUUAUUUUGAUAAAUGUGACCAAUAAGGAGAAGCCACGUCAGAUGAUAUUGGUAUCACAAAUAUCACUGGAUUGAUACUAAUCAAUCUCAUUCUAAUUAUUUUGGU